GCAGUCGAGGGGCAGCAUGGUCUUAGCUUGCUAAGGCCGAUGGCGACCGGCGCACGGGUGAGUAACACGUAUCCAACCUGCCGUCUACUCUUGGACAGCCUUCUGAAAGGAAGAUUAAUACAAGAUGGCAUCAUGAGUCCGCAUGUUCACAUGAUUAAAGGUAUUCCGGUAGACGAUGGGGAUGCGUUCCAUUAGAUAGUAGGCGGGGUAACGGCCCACCUAGUCUUCGAUGGAUAGGGGUUCUGAGAGGAAGGUCCCCCACAUUGGAACUGAGACACGGUCCAAACUCCUACGGGAGGCAGCAGUGAGGAAUAUUGGUCAAUGGGCGAGAGCCUGAACCAGCCAAGUAGCGUGAAGGAUGACUGCCCUAUGGGUUGUAAACUUCUUUUAUAAAGGAAUAAAGUCGGGUAUGGAUACCCGUUUGCAUGUACUUUAUGAAUAAGGAUCGGCUAACUCCGUGCCAGCAGCCGCGGUAAUACGGAGGAUCCGAGCGUUAUCCGGAUUUAUUGGGUUUAAAGGGAGCGUAGAUGGAUGUUUAAGUCAGUUGUGAAAGUUUGCGGCUCAACCGUAAAAUUGCAGUUGAUACUGGAUAUCUUGAGUGCAGUUGAGGCAGGCGGAAU
RNAcentral lists this ribosomal RNA (620 nucleotides) under uncultured bacterium. RNAcentral's name for it is "bacterial SSU rRNA". It matches the Rfam family "Bacterial small subunit ribosomal RNA", at positions 57 to 667 of the family's 1533-position model. The record is from RNAcentral.